RNAcentral lists this transfer RNA (77 nucleotides) under Defluviicoccus vanus. RNAcentral's name for it is "tRNA-Asp". It matches the Rfam family "tRNA". From Rfam's summary of the family: Transfer RNA (tRNA) molecules are approximately 80 nucleotides in length. Their secondary structure includes four short double-helical elements and three loops (D, anti-codon, and T loops). Further hydrogen bonds mediate the characteristic L-shaped molecular structure. tRNAs have two regions of fundamental functional importance: the anti-codon, which is responsible for specific mRNA codon recognition, and the 3' end, to which the tRNAs corresponding amino acid is attached (by aminoacyl-tRNA synthetases). tRNAs cope with the degeneracy of the genetic code in two manners: having more than one tRNA (with a specific anti-codon) for a particular amino acid; and 'wobble' base-pairing, i.e. permitting non-standard base-pairing at the 3rd anti-codon position. RNAcentral also lists the same sequence under 22 other names. Lineage: Bacteria; Pseudomonadati; Pseudomonadota; Alphaproteobacteria; Rhodospirillales; Rhodospirillaceae. The record is from RNAcentral.
GGGGGUGUAGCUCAGUCGGUUAGAGCGCUGGCCUGUCACGCCAGAGGCCGCGGGUUCGAGUCCCGUCACUCCCGCCA